ACUUAAAUAAUUUAAAAAAAAUAUUGAUUUGUGGAGUCAAAAAUAUGGUAAAGUAAGUCAUUUUAAGUU
This 69-nucleotide transfer RNA is filed under the name Neptis philyra. RNAcentral describes it as "tRNA-His". The record is from RNAcentral. Lineage: Eukaryota; Metazoa; Arthropoda; Insecta; Lepidoptera; Nymphalidae.